Long non-coding RNA from Symphalangus syndactylus (siamang), 530 nucleotides. RefSeq lists it as uncharacterized. NCBI's taxonomy places the organism in Eukaryota, Metazoa, Chordata, Mammalia, Primates, Hylobatidae. The record is from RefSeq and is a predicted model, not a curated record.
UCAGAUGGUGAGAGGGCGAGAUGCCAUGGAAAAGGGCUUGGAGUUUGAGUUUCACUCUAUAAACAAGACCAAGUUUUGCCAUGUUACCCAGGCUAGUCAUUAACUCCUGGCUCCAAGUGACCUUUUUGCCUUGGCCUCCCAAAGUGCUGAGAUUACACACGUCAGCCACCAUGCUUGGCCAACUAUUUCCCAUUCUAGGGUCUUCCUUUGUUGCCCAGGCUAGAGUGCAGUGGUGCCAUCUCAACUCACUGCAGCCUCCCAGGUUCAAGUGAUUCUCCCACCACAGCCUCCCGAGAAGCUGGGACUACAGGUAUGUGCCACCACGCCUGGCUAAUUUUUGUAUUUUUUUGUAGAGAUGGGGCUUCGCCAUGUUGGCCCGGCUUGUUUUGAACUCCUGACCUCGAGUGAUCCACCCGCCUUGGCCUCCCAAAGUGUUGGGAUUACAGGUGUGGGCCACCGUGCCCAGCCUUGUAGUUUAUUCUUGAUGUUCUUGUGCCUCCUCAAAAAUGCGGUAAUCUAUUUAACUCUCC